Molecule: non-coding RNA, 785 nt
Organism: Lolium perenne
Lineage: Eukaryota; Viridiplantae; Streptophyta; Magnoliopsida; Poales; Poaceae
Source: RefSeq, a predicted model, not a curated record
GCAUACUGAUAGUUUCCCUUUUGUUUUAUAGGAUUAACUAAUUUUCCUGGCAUUUAGAGUGUCGAGGCUUGCUUUGGCCUGCCAAAUUUCUGCGGCAGAAAAAACAUGGCUGAUUCGAGAGGGGAAGAGGGUGUUGGUGCAUCAGCUAGUGAUUACAUACCAGAACCAUGUGAACCUGAAUUUCGAUGAUGAUCCUCCUUCGAUGUCCCUUGCUAGUUUGUUUGAGGAGAAUGAGCAGUGGCACUGGAUGUUGAUGACCACCAAGUGUGGUUGAUUCGUGCUAGCAAACUUUCGACAUUCACACGUAUUGUAUGCAGCAAUGAGCAUUUACAUAGCAUUGCGAGAAGAAAGUUGUAGCUACUGGAUACCAUGAAUGCAUUAGAGGACUCACAUUUGUGUCAGCUAGGAUGGCGUGUAUUAUAGUGUAGAAAGAAGAAGUUACAAGUGAGGAUUCCAGGCGAAGCGAGAGUACGGCCUUGGUGGCAUUAUUCUCUUCGAGCAUGCACGUCCGAAGCUAAAUUGUACUGGCAUGGUUACUUCGUAAGGUUGAAGAUUGGUUGCAUCAUAUUCUGCUAAGUUAUAGGCCGGGUCCUGCUUUUGUACAUCAAGUAUUCUGUCUGGGUGAUAUUCACGUCCUCAUUAAUGUUGAUUCCAUUUUUUUUCAUAUUACCUUAUGGGACGAGCUUGAUUAUGGAAUGAUCUUGAUUAUGGGGCGAAAUUGAUUCUGGGCGAGUUUGACUGGGGCGUGAUUACAUUCCUUUUGGGAAUUAUGGGACGAUCUUGAU